CCUCGGGUGGCUGCAGUGGGGAAUAUUGGACAAUGGGCGAAAGCCUGAUCCAGCCAUGCCGCGUGUGUGAAGAAGGCCUUCGGGUUGUAAAGCACUUUCAGUGGGGAAGAAAGCCUUGGGGCUAAUACCCUCGAGGAAGGACAUCACCCACAGAAGAAGCACCGGCUAACUCCGUGCCAGCAGCCGCGGUAAUACGGAGGGUGCGAGCGUUAAUCGGAAUUACUGGGCGUAAAGCGCGCGUAGGCGGUCUGAUAAGCCGGUUGUGAAAGCCCCGGGCUCAACCUGGGAACGGCAUCCGGAACUGUCAGGCUAGAGUGCAGGAGAGGAAGGUAGAAUUCCCGGUGUAGCGGUGAAAUGCGUAGAGAUCGGGAGGAAUACCAGUGGCGAAGGCGGCCUUCUGGACUGACACUGACGCUGAGGUGCGAAAGCGUGGGUAGCAAACAGGAUUAGAUACCCGAGUAGUC
This 464-nucleotide ribosomal RNA is filed under the name Vreelandella stevensii. RNAcentral's name for it is "partial 16S ribosomal RNA". It matches the Rfam family "Bacterial small subunit ribosomal RNA", at positions 339 to 795 of the family's 1533-position model. The record is from RNAcentral. Lineage: Bacteria; Pseudomonadati; Pseudomonadota; Gammaproteobacteria; Oceanospirillales; Halomonadaceae.